RNAcentral lists this ribosomal RNA (403 nucleotides) under Verrucomicrobiota bacterium. RNAcentral describes it as "Verrucomicrobia bacterium partial 16S ribosomal RNA". It matches the Rfam family "Bacterial small subunit ribosomal RNA", at positions 355 to 776 of the family's 1533-position model. The record is from RNAcentral. Lineage: Bacteria; Pseudomonadati; Verrucomicrobiota.
UGGGGAAUAUUGCACAAUGGGCGCAAGCCUGAUGCAGCAACGCCGCGUGAACGAUGAAGGUCUUCGGAUCGUAAAGUUCUGUUGCAGGGGAAGAUAAUGACGGUACCCUGUGAGGAAGCCCCGGCUAACUACGUGCCAGCAGCCGCGGUAAUACGUAGGGGGCUAGCGUUAUCCGGAUUUACUGGGCGUAAAGGGUGCGUAGGUGGUCCUUCAAGUCGGUGGUUAAAGGCUUCGGCUCAACCGUAGUAAGCCGCCGAAACUGGAGGACUUUAGUGCAGGAGAGGAGAGUGGGAUUCCCAGUGUAGCGGUGAAAUGCGUAGAUAUUGGGGGGAGCACCAGUAGCGCAGGCGGCUUUCUGGACUGCACCUGACACUGGGGCACGAGAGCGUGGGUAGCAAACAGG